GUCCACGCCAUAAACGAUGAGAACUAGAUGUCGGGAGGGUUAGCCUCUCGGUGUCGCAGCUAACGCGUUAAGUUCUCCGCCUGGGGAGUACGGCCGCAAGGUUGAAACUCAAAGGAAUUGACGGGGACCCCGCACAAGCGGUGGAGCAUGUGGUUUAAUUCGAUGCAACGCGAAGAACCUUACCUGGUCUUGACAUCCUAGGAACCCCGCAGAGAUGUGGGGGUGCCUUCGGGAACCUGGAGACAGGUGCUGCAUGGCUGUCGU
This 264-nucleotide ribosomal RNA is filed under the name uncultured bacterium. RNAcentral describes it as "partial 16S ribosomal RNA". It matches the Rfam family "Bacterial small subunit ribosomal RNA", at positions 793 to 1055 of the family's 1533-position model. The record is from RNAcentral.